RNAcentral lists this ribosomal RNA (52 nucleotides) under Fusarium oxysporum. Its description in RNAcentral is "partial 28S ribosomal RNA". Lineage: Eukaryota; Fungi; Ascomycota; Sordariomycetes; Hypocreales; Nectriaceae. RNAcentral also lists the same sequence under 1 other name. The record is from RNAcentral.
CCUCGGAUCAGGUAGGAAUACCCGCUGAACUUAAGCAUAUCAAUAAGCGGAG